RNAcentral lists this ribosomal RNA (301 nucleotides) under uncultured bacterium. Its description in RNAcentral is "partial 16S ribosomal RNA". It matches the Rfam family "Bacterial small subunit ribosomal RNA", at positions 509 to 807 of the family's 1533-position model. The record is from RNAcentral.
CAGCCGCCGCGGGAAUACGUAGGUGGCAAGCGUUGUCCGGAAUUAUUGGGCGUAAAGGGCUCGCAGGCGGUUUCUUAAGUCUGAUGUGAAAGCCCCCGGAUCAACCGGGGAGGGUCAUUGGAAACUGGGAAACUUGAGUGCAGAAGAGGAGAGUGGAAUUCCACGUGUAGCGGUGAAAUGCGUAGAGAUGUGGAGGAACACCAGUGGCGAAGGCGACUCUCUGGUCUGUAACUGACGCUGAGGAGCGAAAGCGUGGGGAGCGAACAGGAUUAGAUACCCCUGUAGUCCCUGUCUCUUAUAC